This 482-nucleotide ribosomal RNA is filed under the name uncultured bacterium. RNAcentral's name for it is "partial 16S ribosomal RNA". It matches the Rfam family "Bacterial small subunit ribosomal RNA", at positions 28 to 507 of the family's 1533-position model. The record is from RNAcentral.
GACGAACGCUGGCGGCGUGCUUAACACAUGCAAGUCGAACGCUAACGCUCAGCUUGCUGGGUGGAUGCGUGGCGAACGGGUGAGUAACACGUGAGUAACCUGCCCUCUUCUUUGGGAUAACGCCCGGAAACGGGUGCUAAUACUGGAUAUCCACUCAUUCCCGCAUGGGGGUUGGUGGCAAGGUUUUUUCUGGUGGGGGAUGGGCGCGCGGCCUAUCAGCUUGUUGGUGGGGUGAUGGCCUACCAAGGCUUUGGCGGGUCGCCGGGCUGAGAGGGUGACCGGGGAAAUUGGAACUGGGACACGGCCCUGAGGGAGGCAGCAGGCAGCAAUAGGGAAUAAUGGGCGCUAGGCGGAAGCCGGAAGCAGGGGCGUCGGGAGAAGGAUGGAGGGCUUCAGAGUGUAUACCUCUUUGGGUAAUGGUCAAGCCGCAGCUUCGGGUUGUAGUGAGGGUAGUGGGUGAAGAAGCGCCGGCUAACUACGUG